Molecule: ribosomal RNA, 412 nt
Filed under: uncultured bacterium
Lineage: Bacteria
Description: bacterial SSU rRNA
Rfam family: Bacterial small subunit ribosomal RNA
Source: RNAcentral
GACGAACGCUGGCGGCGUGCCUAACACAUGCAAGUCGAACGGAACUGUUUUGAAAGAUUUCUUCGGAAUGAAUUUGAUUUAGUUUAGUGGCGGACGGGUGAGUAACGCGUGAGUAACCUGCCUUCAAGAGGGGGAUAACAUUCUGAAAAGGAUGCUAAUACCGCAUGAUAUAUCGGAAUCACAUGAUUUUGAUAUCAAAGAUUUUAUCGCUUGAAGAUGGACUCGCGUCCGAUUAGUUAGUUGGUGAGGUAACGGCUCGACCAAGACCGCGAUCGGUAGCCGGACUGAGAGGUUGAACGGCCACAUUGGGACUGAGACACGGCCCAGACUCCUACGGGAGGCAGCAGUGGGGGAUAUUGCACAAUGGGGGAAACCCUGAUGCAGCGACGCCGCGUGGAGGAAGAAGGUCUUC